RNAcentral lists this ribosomal RNA (253 nucleotides) under uncultured bacterium. RNAcentral describes it as "partial 16S ribosomal RNA". It matches the Rfam family "Bacterial small subunit ribosomal RNA", at positions 524 to 776 of the family's 1533-position model. The record is from RNAcentral.
UACGGAGGGUGCAAGCGUUAUCCGGAUUCACUGGGUUUAAAGGGUGCGUAGGUGGGCAGGUAAGUCAGUGGUGAAAUCUCCGGGCUUAACUCGGGAACUGCCGUUGAUACUAUCUGUCUUGAAUAUCGUGGAGGUUAGCGGAAUAUGUCAUGUAGCGGUGAAAUGCUUAGAUAUGACAUAGAACACCGAUUGCGAAGGCAGCUAACUACACGAUCAUUGACGCUGAGGCACGAAAGCGUGGGGAGCAAACAGG